GGAAUAUUGGACAAUGGGCGCAAGCCUGAUCCAGCCAUGCCGCGUGAGUGAUGAAGGCCCUAGGGUUGUAAAGCUCUUUCAGCGAGGAGGAUAAUGACGUUACUCGCAGAAGAAGCCCCGGCUAACUUCGUGCCAGCAGCCGCGGUAAUACGAAGGGGGCUAGCGUUGUUCGGAAUCACUGGGCGUAAAGCGCACGUAGGCGGACUUUUAAGUCAGGGGUGAAAUCCCGGGGCUCAACCCCGGAACUGCCUUUGAUACUGGAAGUCUUGAGUCCGAGAGAGGUGAGUGGAAUUCCGAGUGUAGAGGUGAAAUUCGUAGAUAUUCGGAAGAACACCAGUGGCGAAGGCGGCUCACUGGCUCGGUACUGACGCUGCAGCGCGAAAGCGUGGGGAUCAAAC
Molecule: ribosomal RNA, 398 nt
Filed under: uncultured bacterium
Lineage: Bacteria
Description: bacterial SSU rRNA
Rfam family: Bacterial small subunit ribosomal RNA
Source: RNAcentral